AGACGGGGCCCGCACAAGCGGUGAGCAUGUGGUUAAUUCGAUGCAACGCGAAGAACCUUACCUGGGCUUGACAUCCCGAGAAUCCCCUGGAAACAGGGGAGUGCCUUUCGGGGAACUCGGAGACAGGUGCUGCAUGGCUGUCGUCAGCUCGUGUCGUGAGAUGUUGGGUUAAGUCCCGCAACGAGCGCAACCCUUGUCUUUAAUUGCCAGCAUUCAGUUGGGCACUUUAAAGAGACUGCCGGUGUUAAGCCGGAGGAAGGUGGGGAUGACGUCAAGUCCUCAUGGCCUUUAUGCCCAGGGCUACACACGUGCUACAAUGGGUGGUACAAAGAGAUGCCAACUCGCGAGAGCGCGCCAAUCUCAGAAAGCCAUCCUCAGUUCGGAUUGGAGUCUGCAACUCGACUCCAUGAAGUUGGAAUCGCUAGUAAUUGCGGAUCAGCACGCCGCGGUCGAAUACGUUCCCGGGCCUUGU
RNAcentral lists this ribosomal RNA (472 nucleotides) under uncultured Syntrophus sp. RNAcentral describes it as "bacterial SSU rRNA". It matches the Rfam family "Bacterial small subunit ribosomal RNA", at positions 912 to 1384 of the family's 1533-position model. Lineage: Bacteria; Pseudomonadati; Thermodesulfobacteriota; Syntrophia; Syntrophales; Syntrophaceae. The record is from RNAcentral.